UACGAAGGGGGCUAGCGUUGUUCGGAAUUACUGGGCGUAAAGCGUACGUAGGCGGCUUCUUAAGUUAGGGGUGAAAGCCCAGGGCUCAACCCUGGAAAUGCCCUUAAGACUGGGAAGCUUGAACACGGGAGAGGUGAGUGGAAUUCCGAGUGUAGAGGUGAAAUUCGUAGAUAUUCGGAGGAACACCAGUGGCGAAGGCGGCUCACUGGACCGUAGUUGACGCUGAGGUACGAAAGCGUGGGGAGCAAACAGG
This 253-nucleotide ribosomal RNA is filed under the name uncultured bacterium. Its description in RNAcentral is "partial 16S ribosomal RNA". It matches the Rfam family "Bacterial small subunit ribosomal RNA", at positions 524 to 776 of the family's 1533-position model. The record is from RNAcentral.